CAACAACCAAACGAAAAAGAAAAUGGCGGGCACAAGAGCAGCAGUGAUGAAGUUGGCGGUCGUCCUCGUGGCCAUGAGCCAGCUCGUCCACAUGGCGACCCCAGCGGCGGAUCCGACGACUGAGUCGUCUCUACUGGUCACGAGCGUUUCCGGCACUUCCGACGGUCAGUCAUCUCCUCAAGUUGAUACUAGUACUGUAUUUAGCUUGGUCAACUAGUUAGCUAGCUACAAGAAACUGAGAUAGUUAAUCUUCGUCUUGGCCAGGGGAAGUCGAUCCUAAACCCAGCCACAUCAGGGAAGAGAAGGUGUUGCUCUAUGCGCCCAAGCCCAGCAUCCCUGUCCCUCCACCCCCUCCCCACCUCGUCCUACCGUGCAAGGGAAGAGCGUGUUGACCUCACGGCCGGGAACGAUCAAAGUCAAGUGCAGCUGGAGCUCCAAGUGACCAAAACAAAAACAACAAAAGUCCCUAGCUUCCUCUGUAUUGCAUUCAAUGUUGACUGCCGUACUCGGUCGUUAUGAUCGACUGAUGGAAUAAAAUAAGCGCGACCUUGUUUAUA
RNAcentral lists this long non-coding RNA (557 nucleotides) under Triticum aestivum (bread wheat). RNAcentral's name for it is "long non-coding RNA (TAES_LNC024707)". The record is from RNAcentral. Lineage: Eukaryota; Viridiplantae; Streptophyta; Magnoliopsida; Poales; Poaceae.